UUUUCCACUUCUUUGUUUUUUUGCCCCAGAUUUUUCUUUACCUCUUUUGUCUCCUGUAUCUUUCCAGUUCUGUGGACUUCUCUGAGGGGAAGAGGGCUCUGAGGAUUGAAGAAAGAAAAGCUCUUCUUUAGUCAUUUAUUACUCACAGGACUUCUGAUGAUUGAGUUUUCUUGCAUAUUUGGCCCCUCUACGUCUACCUUUAGAAAUUCAGGAACUGAAUAUGCCAGGGAUGGAAUAGUGUGUUGACCUGUGCCUUUGGCACUUGCUUGUGGCCUUUCUUACUGGAUCGCCCCAUCGCAGCCUUGACUGUUCAGCUCAAUUCAUUACUUAUUUGACAUGAAACAUUGUCAGUGAGUCUAAUGGAAAAUUCCACUAAAGAAGGAAAAAACAUCUCAAAUAUGGAACAGCGAGCUAUUGAUUAAAGCUGCCAUGUGCCCUCAGAGCUCCUUUCUUCGAUAAUGCCUAAAACAGAUCAAGGUUAACAUGGGUGUUACCUCUUAACAGUCCAAAUGUCGGGCUGGCUUUAAGUACAGAGGUGAUGGACUAAUGUCCCAACUGCCUCACGUGGACCACACAGGUGACCCCGAGGACUGCGGGCUGGGACAAGGCAGUCACUCUCACCAAGAUGCCACCUGGGACUCUGACCUUGUGACUUGCGAUUGCAUUGGGCCCAGCUGCAUCAUCCGGGAUCCUCUCCCCAUCUCAAGAGCCUUACUUCAAUCACAUCUUUUUUCUGCGGAAGCCGACAUCUUUACAGAUUUCAUCCUUGCCCAGACAUUAAUACAGAAGCUAGAACGAAACAAUUUCUACAGUCCAGACGCAAGAGCAAAGAAAAAAGAAUUUGGUACACACGAUUUCCUACGUGGAACACAUAGUAUGUUUUCAACAUCUUUUGGAAGUACUAUGUUAUUUCUCUGCAUAGUUAUUUAAGAGAGGCAAACUGCAAAUGGCAUUCCUUGUAUGUGUACAGAGGUGUUAAUGUAGCAACAGCGAAUACAUCUAUCCAUAAGAUACAGUGAACUCACUUCUGUGUGUCUGGUCAAAGGCAAUAGUUCUCAUUCAGUAUUGUUCUCAUGUUAAAAAUUAACAUUCAUCAGACACACAUUAUGUGCUGGGAUGGUCUUGGAUGACCCAUCAGGCUGAGCUAAUCUACUGAAUAAUAUUGCCUAAUUUGUAGACCUUGGGGAAAUAAACCCCUGAUUUUUAUUGCUUCAGUGUCUGGUGUUAAACAAGUUCUAGAACAGCAGGCUAACCACAGGCUGGAGCCAUAACAUUGCUUGAUGAGCUGUCAGCGCACUGAUGCUGAGUUCUCGAGGUGCCACCGCCACAGCCCGCAUGUCGGGGGUCCGCCCUGAAUCUCCUCCAAACGCAAGAAUGCCUGUAAUGUGUUUCUUUUAGGUUCAGCUGUCAAGGAGCUUUUUCAGUCUACUAGUUGAUGUUUAAAAACUCCGUUCUCAUUUUCUGAUAGAUUUUUAAAAACAAGAUAACUAGAUAUAGCUCUUUGAAGAUAAAUAUUGAGAACUCUGUCGACUAAAUUGAUUCAGUUCAGCAUUGUGCAAAAUGGUAUGGAUUCCUGUCAUUUGGGGAAGCUUUUAAAUUUCUAAGGACUUUUCCUAAAAGGAUCAGAAUAAAAGACGUGAAGUAGAUACCUGAUA
Herpailurus yagouaroundi (jaguarundi) is the source of this 1655-nucleotide long non-coding RNA. RefSeq lists it as uncharacterized. Lineage: Eukaryota; Metazoa; Chordata; Mammalia; Carnivora; Felidae. The transcript is spliced from 5 exons. The record is from RefSeq and is a predicted model, not a curated record.